Non-coding RNA from Dipodomys ordii (Ord's kangaroo rat), 70 nucleotides. NCBI's taxonomy places the organism in Eukaryota, Metazoa, Chordata, Mammalia, Rodentia, Heteromyidae. The record is from Rfam.
GGGAAUGUGGCUUAGUGGUAGAGUGCUUGCCUAGCAUGCAUGAAGCCCUGGGUUCAAUUCCUCAGCACCA